GUCAUUUUUACAGCCAUGGCCAUUAUUCCGUUUGUUUGUUUUUGCUAGUUCAGAACUUGAAGGAGGCUUUUUAGACACGAGUAAGUUGUUAAUAGAAAUGAUAGCAGUUUAUUUUAUAUCUCGAGACAUCCCAUACCCUACUACACGUGAGGCCACGUCACUCUUUCCUCAAGGUCAAUGUUGGAAGUACAAAGUCUUUGUUUGUACGUGGUGUUUGUCCUGUUGAACCAACUUCCGUCCAAUUACCUAACUGAUAGAUCUAACAGGAACCUGUUGUACCGCAUAUCACAGAACCAGUCACAGUGAAGGCAGGGAGUGUCGCCUGAUAGUCUCAUGACUUGGUUACCAAACGCUUAUGACAAACAGGUUUAAAAUGGAACAGGGAUUGCAAGAGGUCCGCAUUCAAAGAGGUUAAAAGAGUGAGAACACGGGAUGCGUGACGCAUACCGGUGGAUGCCAUUGUGGGGCAGUCCGUUUCGAGGUGUGGAGUUCGCCUGAUCUACACGUCUUUAAUUGCAACUGCAGCAUUUGCACUAAGAAACAGAACCGCCAUUUCAUUGUACCAAAACGUCAGUUCACUCUUUUGCAGGCGUGGCACCGCACUGCUUGGACCCGGGCACUGUGAGGAGCGUGAGGGUGGAGGACUUCUGUGGUGAGAAGUGGGAGGAGAGUAUGGAGGCACACCAGACCAUCAGAAGCAUGUCCAAAGCUGAGGCUGACUCACACACGUCAGCCAAAUAAAAAAUAAAAAAAAGUUUUUUUCAGCA
Anguilla rostrata (American eel) is the source of this 767-nucleotide long non-coding RNA. RefSeq lists it as uncharacterized. The transcript has 4 exons. The record is from RefSeq and is a predicted model, not a curated record. NCBI's taxonomy places the organism in Eukaryota, Metazoa, Chordata, Actinopteri, Anguilliformes, Anguillidae.